UACGUAGGGUGCAAGCGUUAAUCGGAAUUACUGGGCGUAAAGCGUGCGCAGGCGGUUUUGUAAGUCUGUCGUGAAAUCCCCGGGCUCAACCUGGGAAUUGCGAUGGAGGCUGCAAGGCUAGAAUCUGGCAGAGGGGGGUAGAAUUCCACGUGUAGCAGUGAAAUGCGUAGAGAUGUGGAGGAACACCGAUGGCGAAGGCAGCCCCCUGGGUCAAGAUUGACGCUCAUGCACGGAAGCGUGGGGAGCAAACAGG
Molecule: ribosomal RNA, 253 nt
Filed under: uncultured bacterium
Lineage: Bacteria
Description: partial 16S ribosomal RNA
Rfam family: Bacterial small subunit ribosomal RNA
Source: RNAcentral